RNAcentral lists this ribosomal RNA (288 nucleotides) under uncultured bacterium. Its description in RNAcentral is "partial 16S ribosomal RNA". It matches the Rfam family "Bacterial small subunit ribosomal RNA", at positions 472 to 760 of the family's 1533-position model. The record is from RNAcentral.
ACGGUACCCCAGGAAUAAGCCUCGGCUAACUCCGUGCCAGCAGCCGCGGUAAUACGGAGGGGGCAAGCUUUUUCCGGAUUUAUUGGGCUUAAAGGGCGCGUAGGCGGUUUUUUAAGCUCAGUGGUGAAAUCCCCCGGCUCAACUGUGGAAUUGCGUUUGAUACUGUUUGUCUUGAGUGCGGGAGAGGAAGGUGGAAUUCCUGGUGUAGCGGUGAAAUGCGUAGAUAUCGGGAUGGAACACCAGUGGCGAAGGCACUUUCUGGACCGUAACUGACGCUGAGCGCAAUGC